CGCCUGGGGAGUACGGGUGAGGUAACGGCUCACCAAGGCAUCGACGGGUAGCUGGUCUGAGAGGAUGAUCAGCCACACUGGGACUGAGACACGGCCCAGACUCCUACGGGAGGCAGCAGUAGGGAAUAUUGCACAAUGGGCGAAAGCCUGAUGCAGCAACGCCGCGUGCGGGAAGAAGGCCCUAGGGUUGUAAACCGCUUUCAGCAGGGAAGAAAAUGACGGUACCUGCAGAAGAAGGUGCGGCCAACUACGUGCCAGCAGCCGCGGUGACACGUAGGCACCAAGCGUUGUCCGGAUUUAUUGGGCGUAAAGAGCUCGUAGGCGGUUCAGUUAGUCGGGUGUGAAAACUCUGGGCUCAACCCAGAGACGCCACUCGAUACUGCUGUGACUAGAGUGCGGUAGGGGAGCAGGGAAUUCCUAGUGUAGCGGUGAAAUGCGCAGAUAUUAGGAGGAACACCAGUGGCGAAGGCGCCGCUCUGGGCCGUAACUGACGCUGAGGAGCGAAAGCGUGGGUAGCAAACAGGAUUAGAUACCCUGGUAGUCCACGCCGUAAACGUUGGGCACUAGGUGUGGGUCUCAACCAACGAGAUCCGCGCCGUCGCUAACGCAUUAAGUGCCCCGCCUGGGGAGUACGG
This 635-nucleotide ribosomal RNA is filed under the name uncultured Actinomycetes bacterium. RNAcentral's name for it is "bacterial SSU rRNA". It matches the Rfam family "Bacterial small subunit ribosomal RNA", at positions 234 to 885 of the family's 1533-position model. The record is from RNAcentral. Lineage: Bacteria; Bacillati; Actinomycetota; Actinomycetes.